UCCCCGGACUGUCGGCCAGGAGA
Molecule: non-coding RNA, 23 nt
Filed under: Cricetulus griseus (Chinese hamster)
Lineage: Eukaryota; Metazoa; Chordata; Mammalia; Rodentia; Cricetidae
Source: RNAcentral